Molecule: ribosomal RNA, 207 nt
Filed under: uncultured bacterium
Lineage: Bacteria
Description: partial 16S ribosomal RNA
Rfam family: Bacterial small subunit ribosomal RNA
Source: RNAcentral
CGUGUAGGCGGCCUUGUAAGUCGGGGGUGAAAUCCACUGGCUCAACCAGUGACGUGCCUUCGAAACUGCUUGGCUUGAGUAUGGCAGAGGAGAGCGGAAUUCCAGGUGUAGCGGUGAAAUGCGUAGAUAUCUGGAAGAACACCGGUGGCGUAGGCGGCUCUCUGGGCCAAUACUGACGCUGAGGCGCGAAAGCCAGGGGAGCAAACG